AGAGUAUGAUACUGGCUCAGAACGAACGCUGGCAGCGUGCCUCAUACAUGCAAGUCGAGCGAGAAAGCGUCCUUCGGGAUGCGAGUAAAGCGGCGAAAGGGUGAGUAACGCAUGGGUAAUCUGCCUUCCGGAGCGGGAUAAGGGCGUCCGCAAGGACCUUUGGCGAAAGUGCCGCUAAUACCGCAUAACGAUGCUGUGCGACUUUUCUUAUUCGUAAGCGAAGUCCGCGCGGUGUUCAAAGGGGCUUAAGGCUUGUCCUUUUGCCUCGCCGGGAGAGGAGCCUGUGUCCUAUUAGCUUGUUGGUGAGGUAACGGCUCACCAAGGCGACGAUGGGUAGCCGGCGUGAGAGCGUGAUCGGCCACACUGGGACUGAGACACUGCCCAGAGCCCUACGGGGCGCUGCAGUAGGGAAUUUUCCGCAAUGGGCGAAAGCCUGACGGAGCGACGCUGCGUGGAGGAAGAAGGCCUUCGGGUUGUAAACUCCUGUCGGGGGCUAAGAACGUCGUCGGGAGAAAUCUCGACGGUUGACAAAGACCCCAGUAGGAAGUCAUGGCUAACUCCGUGCCAGCAGCCGCGGUAAUACGGAGAUGGCAAGCGUUGUUCGGAAUUACUGGGCGUAAAGGGCGCGUAGGCGGCUGCAUAAGUCGGACGUGGAAUCCUUCGGCUCAACCGGAGAAUUGCAUUCGAUACUAUGCGGCUAGAGGACGGCAGGGGAGAGUGGAACUCCUGGUGGAGCGGUGAAAUGCGUAGAUAUCAGGGGGAACGCCGACGGCGAAAGCAACUCUCUGGGCCGUUUCUGACGCUGAGUGUGCGAAAGCCAGGGUAGCAAACGGGAUUAGAUACCCCGGUAGUCCUGGCCCUAAACGAUGGGCACUUGGUAGUGGGGAGAAAUCCUCUCUGCCGGAGCUAACGCGUUAAGUGCCCCGCCUGGGUAGUACGGUCGCAAGGCUGAAACUCAAAGUAAUUGACGGGGGCUCGCACAAGCGGUGGAGCACGUGCCUCAAUUCGAUUCAACGCGAGGAACCUUACCAGGGUUUGACAUGCAGGUGGUACGGACCCGAAAGGGCGAGGACCCUGGGUCAGCCAGGGGGCCUGCACAGGUGCUGCAUGGCUGUCGUCAGUUCGUGUCGUGAGAUGUUGGGUUAAGUCCCGUAACGAGCGAAACCCCUGUCCUUAGUUGCUAACGGGUAAUGCCGAGGACUCUAAGGAGACUGCCGGUGUUAAACCGGAGGAAGGUGGGGAUGACGUCAAGUCCUCAUGGCCCUUAUGCCCUGGGCGGGACACAUGCUACAAUGGCCGGUACAAAGGGAAGCCAAGCCGCAAGGCGGAGCGAAGCUCUAAAAGCCGGUCCCAGUUCGGAUCGGGGGCUGCAAUUCGCCCCCGUGAAGCAGGAAUCGCUAGUAACCGCGGAUCAGCCACGCCGCGGUGAAUAUGUGCCCGAGCCUUGUACACACCGCCCGUCAAGCCACGGGAGCCGGGAGCACGUUAAGUCAGCGGCCCAACCUUCCCCUCGGGGAUGGAGGGAACUGCCCACCGUGAGUUCGGCGACUGGGACUAAGUCGUAACAAGGUA
RNAcentral lists this ribosomal RNA (1572 nucleotides) under metagenome. Its description in RNAcentral is "bacterial SSU rRNA". It matches the Rfam family "Bacterial small subunit ribosomal RNA". The record is from RNAcentral.